UACGUAGGCAGCAAGCGUUGUUCGGAUUUACUGGGCGUAAAGGGUGCGUAGGCGGCUUUUUAAGUCUGGUGUGAAAUCUCCCGGCUCAACUGGGAGGGUGCGCCGGAUACUGAGGGGCUAGAGUGUGGGAGAGGAAAGUGGAAUUCCUGGUGUAGCGGUGAAAUGCGUAGAUAUCAGGAGGAACACCGGUGGUGUAAACGGCUUUCUGGACCAUAACUGACGCUGAGGCACGAAAGCGUGGGUAGCAAACAGG
Molecule: ribosomal RNA, 253 nt
Filed under: uncultured bacterium
Lineage: Bacteria
Description: partial 16S ribosomal RNA
Rfam family: Bacterial small subunit ribosomal RNA
Source: RNAcentral